Molecule: non-coding RNA, 74 nt
Organism: Cenococcum geophilum 1.58
Lineage: Eukaryota; Fungi; Ascomycota; Dothideomycetes; Gloniales; Gloniaceae
Source: the annotation of a GenBank genome assembly
UCUAAUAUUAUUUAUUCAGGUUAGGAUCCUUGCCUUCCAAGCAAGGGGUCGGCGUUCGAUUCGCCGGAUAAGCA